UACGGAGGGGGCUAGCGUUGUUCGGAAUUACUGGGCGUAAAGCGCACGUAGGCGGCUUUGUAAGUUAGAGGUGAAAGCCCGGGGCUCAACUCCGGAAUUGCCUUUAAGACUGCAUCGCUCGAAUUGUGGAGAGGUAAGUGGAAUUCCGAGUGUAGAGGUGAAAUUCGUAGAUAUUCGGAAGAACACCAGUGGCGAAGGCGACUUACUGGACACAUAUUGACGCUGAGGCGCGAAAGCGUGGGAGCAAACAGG
Molecule: ribosomal RNA, 252 nt
Filed under: uncultured bacterium
Lineage: Bacteria
Description: partial 16S ribosomal RNA
Rfam family: Bacterial small subunit ribosomal RNA
Source: RNAcentral